This 110-nucleotide ribosomal RNA is filed under the name uncultured eukaryote. RNAcentral's name for it is "partial small subunit ribosomal RNA". It matches the Rfam family "Eukaryotic small subunit ribosomal RNA", at positions 1676 to 1785 of the family's 1831-position model. The record is from RNAcentral.
UCGCACCUACCGAUUGAAUGGUCCGGUGAAGACUCGGGAUUGUAGUGAAGCUCCUUCAUUGGUGCCUUACCGCGAGAACUUGUCUAAACCUUAUCAUUUAGAGGAAGGUG